AGGGGGAGGGCAGGAUCCUGGGCUGUGUCCCCUGGCGCCCUCGGCUCUGGGGCCUGCGCCACUGGAAUCGUGCUCUGGAGGCUGCACAGCCCCCU
RNAcentral lists this microRNA precursor (95 nucleotides) under Canis lupus familiaris (dog). Its description in RNAcentral is "mir-8799 microRNA precursor family". It matches the Rfam family "mir-8799 microRNA precursor family". RNAcentral also lists the same sequence under 1 other name. The record is from Rfam by way of RNAcentral. Lineage: Eukaryota; Metazoa; Chordata; Mammalia; Carnivora; Canidae.